This 255-nucleotide ribosomal RNA is filed under the name uncultured bacterium. Its description in RNAcentral is "partial 16S ribosomal RNA". It matches the Rfam family "Bacterial small subunit ribosomal RNA", at positions 524 to 777 of the family's 1533-position model. The record is from RNAcentral.
UACGUAGGGGGCAAGCGUUGUCCGGAUUUAUUGGGCGUAAAGAGCGUGUAGGCGGCUUGGUAGGUCCGCUGUGAAAACUCGAGGCUCAACCUCGAGAUGUCGGCGGAAACCACUUGGCUAGAGUCCGGAAGAGGAGAGUGGGAAUUCCUGGUGUAGCGGUGAAAUGCGCAGAUAUCAGGAAGAACACCUAUGGCGAAGGCAGCUCUCUGGGACGGUACUGACGCUGAGACGCGAAAGCGUGGGGAGCGAAGCAGG